AGUGAACGCUGGCGGUAGGCCUAACACAUGCAAGUCGAACGGCAGCACAGUAAGAGCUUGCUCUUACGGGUGGCGAGUGGCGGGCGGGUGAGGAAUACAUCGGAAUCUACUUUUUCGUGGGGGAUAACGUAGGGAAACUUACGCUAAUACCGCAUACGACCUACGGGUGAAAGCAGGGGAUCUUCUGACCUUGCGCGAUUGAAUGAGCCGAUGUCGGAUUAGCUAGUUGGCGGGGUAAAGGCCCACCAAGGCGACGAUCCGUAGCUGGUCUGAGAGGAUGAUCAGCCACACUGGAACUGAGACACGGUCCAGACUCCGACAGGAGGCAGCAGUGGGGAAUAUUGGACAAUGGGCGCAAGCCUGAUCCAGCCAUACCGCGUGGAUGAAGAAGGCGUUCGGGUUGUAAAGCCCUUUUGUUGGGAGAGAAAAGCAGCAGGUUAAUACCCCGCUGUUCUGACGGUACCCAAAGAAUAAGCACCGGCUAACUUCGUG
This 492-nucleotide ribosomal RNA is filed under the name uncultured bacterium. Its description in RNAcentral is "partial 16S ribosomal RNA". It matches the Rfam family "Bacterial small subunit ribosomal RNA", at positions 29 to 507 of the family's 1533-position model. The record is from RNAcentral.